This 518-nucleotide ribosomal RNA is filed under the name uncultured bacterium. RNAcentral describes it as "bacterial SSU rRNA". It matches the Rfam family "Bacterial small subunit ribosomal RNA", at positions 8 to 526 of the family's 1533-position model. The record is from RNAcentral.
AGAGUUUGAUCCUGGCUCAGAAUGAACGGUGGCGGCGUGGAUUAGGCAUGCAAGUCGAGCGAGAAUCGGUCUUCGGAUAGGACAGCGGCGAACGGGGUAGGAAUACCUCGGUGACGUACCCCCAGGUCGGGGAUAGCGGCGGGAAGCUGCCGGUAAUACCCGAUGAUCUGUCUUGAUUUUAGUGUUGGGACAGCAAAGGUGUGAUUCCGUCUGGGGAGCGGCUGAGGUCGUAUUAGCUUGUUGGUGGGGUAACGGCCUACCAAGGCGAUGGUGCGUCGGGGGUGUGAGAGCAUGGCCCCCACCACUGGCACUGAGACACUGGCCAGACACCUACGGGUGGCUGCAGUCGAGAAUCUUCGGCAAUGGGCGCAAGCCUGACCGAGCGACGCCGCGUGCGGGAUAAGGUCUUCGGAUUGUAAACCGCUGUCGGAGGGGAUGAAAUGCAUCAGGGUACUCCCUGUGUUUGACAGAGCCUCGGAGGAAGCACGGGCAGUUCGUGCCAGCAGCCGCGGUAAUAC